Long non-coding RNA from Nicotiana attenuata, 955 nucleotides. RefSeq lists it as uncharacterized. The record is from RefSeq and is a predicted model, not a curated record. Lineage: Eukaryota; Viridiplantae; Streptophyta; Magnoliopsida; Solanales; Solanaceae. The transcript is spliced from 5 exons.
CUAAAAAUACCUAAUAAAUCAAAGGCGGGUCUCCUCCAAAAUUGCUCCUCCAGUUACUCCCAAAAUCACCUUCAAAUCAGAUCAAAAUCCGCGAAAAUCAGUCAAAAAAGACCUCAAAAUUCCAAAAUAUAGCGAAUUAGAGAGUUGUUUGCGGGAUUCAAGAGCUCUCUUCGCGAUUGGGAUCGAGAUUUGCAUCACUGCCUGAUUCCGCUAUUGAUUUAAAGAGACCAAGCUUAGCUUUUUAGGGCUUCUAUACUUCUGCAGAUCGUCAACAAUCGUGUUACUUCUGCGGUAAUUCUUUUUCCUUCAAAGAGACCUCAUCAGCAAAUCGAGUCGAGGCCGCGCUAGGCUGCUGCUCUUCGUAAUCUCCUUCUCGGGUGAACUCGGCUGAGAAAUCGAGUGCUGGUAAUGGACCGGCAAUGUCUCCAAUGCCAAUGGGUUCGCCAGAGGGUUCAGUACUUCCGACAGAACAGCGGAUUCUUAAACUGGUUCAUCGUUGUCAGGUCGAGAGAAGAGAUGGUAAAGCUGCUUGUUCAGCAUUUGACUGAGUGUUCAUAGUCAGGUUAUAAUAACAUAAAUCCUAGAGACUUCACUGUGCAAGUUAAGAAUUUUCCACCACAAAAUCUCCCACAUAAUAUUUUGUCCAAUACUGGAGAGAGAGAAAAUAUCCCUGUACAUCGAUACUUUGAUGCGUUGGAGGGACCAGAAUUGGACACUCUACGGGUGGAGUAGAUCAAGAAAUAGAAGAUGAAGGCAAUGAAGAUGUGGACCUUACUUAAAAUGAAUUUUGAAUUGCUAUAGAUGAAUGUUCUAGGAAUCUUUUGUUGUCAACAUUUUGAAACUUACUAUCUUGUAAUGUAUUAAACUUAUGCACUUGGGGUAGAACAUUUACUUUUAUGGAUAUUAUUAGCCUGUUGGACAAGUUAUAAUAUUAAUAAUUUUAUUUUGUGAUUUA